CUCCAACCGCGACAAUUUUGACAGUAAAGCGAUCAGUAGGUGUCAAAAGCUUUGUGGGUCUGCAGACCCUGCAACAGGGCGCAUUACAGACGAAAACAGAGGUUUGUUUACAAACAAACGAAAACAGAGCAAUAAAAUGGGUAGCAAACCGGAGCAAAAAAGAUACGUAAAACUGAACCCUGAGCAAAGUUCCACAAUCGUAGUAACUGAAACCAACAUCAAGUGCUUCUUUCGACUUCAGCAUGAAUAAUGACGCGUAUGUUAUCCAUGGAACCAUCUCUCGCUCCUACAUGCGGUUUUUCACCGACGGACUCGGCGUCGCCCAUCCCUUCGCGACGAGU
Anopheles cruzii is the source of this 341-nucleotide long non-coding RNA. RefSeq lists it as uncharacterized. The transcript is spliced from 3 exons. The record is from RefSeq and is a predicted model, not a curated record. Lineage: Eukaryota; Metazoa; Arthropoda; Insecta; Diptera; Culicidae.